GGAUUGGGAGGGUUCUACGGAACCCGUUUGGUGAAUCUAGUGCCGAGAAAAGCCUUCUAUGUGUUGAAUUUCUAGUACCCGUACCCCAAACCGACACAGGUGGGUGGGUAGAGCAUACCUAGGGGCGCGUGAUAACUCUCUCUAAGGAACUCGGCAAAAUGGCCCUGUAACUUCGGGAUAAGGGGUGCCUGCGUGAGCAGGCCGCAGUGAAAUGGCUCUGGCGACUGUUUACCAAAAACACAGGUCUCUGCUAAGUCGUAAGACGAUGUAUAGGGGCUGACUCCUGCCCAGUGCCGGAAGGUUAAGGAAGUUGGUUAGCGCAAGCGAAGCUGGCGACCGAAGCCCCGGUGAACGGCGGCCGUAACAAUAACGGUCCUAAGGUAGCGAAAUUCCUUGUCGGGUAAGUUCCGACCCGCACGAAAGGAGUAACGAUCAGAGCGCUGUCUCGGAGAGAGACACGGCGAAAUAGGAUUGUCCGUGAAGAUACGGACUACCUGCACCCGGACAGAAAGACCCUAUGAAGCUUUACUGUAACUUGGAAUUGUGUUCGGACUUUGUCUGCGCAGAAUAGGUGGGAGGCUAUGAAACGUUCCUCGCGGGGAACUGGAGCCAUCGUUGAGAUACCACUCUGGCAGAGUCUGGAUUCUAACCUACGGGGACAGUUCCAGGUGGGCAGUUUGACUGGGGCGGUCGCCUCCUAAAAUGUAACGGAGGCGCGCAAAGGUUCCCUCAGGCUGGUUGGAAAUCAGCCAUAGAGUGUAAAAGCAUAAGGGAGCUUGACUGUGAGACCUACAAGUCGAGCAGGGACGAAAGUCGGCUUUAGUGAUCCGACGGCACUGAGUGGAAGGGCCGUCGCUCAACGGAUAAAAGUUACUCUAGGAUAACAGGCUGAUCUCCCCCAAGAGUUCACAUCGACGGGGAGGUUUGGCACCUCGAUGUCGGCUCGUCGCAACCUGGGGCGGUAGUACGUCCCAAGGGUUGGGCUGUUCGCCCAUUAAAGCGGCACGUGAGCUGGGUUCAGAACGUCGUGAGACAGUUCGGUCCAUAUCCGGUGUAGGCGUAGGAGCAUUGAAAGGACCUCUCCUUAGUACGAGAGGACCGGGAGGGACGUACCUCUGGUGUACCUGUUAUCGUGCCAACGGUAAACGCAGGGUAGCCAUGUACGGAGUGGAUAACCGCUGAAAGCAUCUAAGUGAGAAGCCCACCUUAAGAUGAGUGCUCCCUUGAGGCCACGGGAAGACGACCCGUUUGAUAGGCGCUAGGUGGAAGUGCAGUAAUGCAUGCAGCCGAGGCGUACUAAUAGGCCGAUGGCUUGUUC
RNAcentral lists this ribosomal RNA (1318 nucleotides) under metagenome. RNAcentral's name for it is "bacterial LSU rRNA". It matches the Rfam family "Bacterial large subunit ribosomal RNA", at positions 1563 to 2925 of the family's 2925-position model. The record is from RNAcentral.